UCGUCCACCUCCUCGUCCGUGAAGCGGUCUCCCAUCGUCGUCAGCAGCUCCCGCAGGUAGUCCUCCUGGAUGGUGCCUGGAGGGCAGCAGAAAGCGGGGAGUCACGAACACCUCCUAACCCCGAAUGGUUCGUUUCUAAGCUAGAGACGUAAAGGAAAACAAAAAGGCAGCUGCCCAGAAAAACAGAUAACGCCGCCAAGACCAAACGUGCUGGAGGGGCAGCGCAUUUGUGACAGGUCUGGAGACCGAGCAGGAAGAAGGGUGCAAGGUGCAUCUGAGGAGGCUGAGAACCAAAUUCAAAGACACCACCAACUGGGGAGCUUUAUGACCCGCAUACCUGUGACCCACCCAUGCUCGUUCAUACUAUCCUACUAUAAAUGAUAGUUUAUUCAUUUUUUUAAAGUUAUAUUUUACUCAACAAAAAAGGGGGGUGUCUGGGUGGCUCAG
Long non-coding RNA from Suricata suricatta (meerkat), 447 nucleotides. RefSeq lists it as uncharacterized. The transcript has 3 exons. Lineage: Eukaryota; Metazoa; Chordata; Mammalia; Carnivora; Herpestidae. The record is from RefSeq and is a predicted model, not a curated record.